This 75-nucleotide transfer RNA is filed under the name Beijerinckiaceae bacterium. Its description in RNAcentral is "tRNA-Val". It matches the Rfam family "tRNA". From Rfam's summary of the family: Transfer RNA (tRNA) molecules are approximately 80 nucleotides in length. Their secondary structure includes four short double-helical elements and three loops (D, anti-codon, and T loops). The record is from RNAcentral. Lineage: Bacteria; Pseudomonadati; Pseudomonadota; Alphaproteobacteria; Hyphomicrobiales; Beijerinckiaceae.
GGGAGAUUAGCUCAGCGGUAGAGCGCGCCCUUCACACGGGUGAGGUCACAGGUUCGAAACCUGUAUCUCCCACCA